Long non-coding RNA from Myotis brandtii (Brandt's bat), 1396 nucleotides. RefSeq lists it as uncharacterized. The record is from RefSeq and is a predicted model, not a curated record. The transcript is spliced from 3 exons. Lineage: Eukaryota; Metazoa; Chordata; Mammalia; Chiroptera; Vespertilionidae.
UUAAGUUAGGGUUUUUCAAAAUGCUGACACGCCGAGCUCAAAAGGUUCGCCAUCACUGCACUAGGGUGUCUAGAGAUGAGUCACAUUGUGACAUUGGGUGACAACAUUGGUCCAGGGAAAACCAGAGUUCAGUACUGUAUCAUACAAAUGUCUAGAAACUUAAUUUGCUUCCCUUUUAUGACUUCCUUCUAUUUAAGGAAGUUUUCUAAACCUCCAAUUCUCAAAACAAAGACCGAAGUAAACUUGAUUUUCAUCUUUUUGCAUCCACCUCGCCUUCUCUCUAGCAGGCUUGAUCCGUAGGUCCUCCUCAUCCCAUGUCAUGCCGCCUUGGGAACUCGGGGUUAUUACUGUGUGCGGUUAGCAUGAUCCAAAGGUACAGAAUGGAUCUUGAAGGAAAGGCUGGUUGCUGGGCCUCCAAAGGAACCCCAGGUAGACAUCAAGAACCUUUGACCUCCUGACCUCUGGGGUUUACUGUUGGCAGAAAGCAGACAUUGAGUGGAUCAAGAUAAAUCCAGGAGUGGGGAAAUGAUUGAAGUGAUGUGCACAUUUCUCCUAAGUGCCUGUGCUCACAUGGCUGAAUAGACAUAGAAUCCGGAGAACGGAGAAGGUCAGGGACCCUGUGUGCCACUGGUCAGAAAGUAGAUUGAUUAUAGUCGGAUCUCCCCCUUGGCUUCAUUCAGUCUGUCUUUCUGGCCCAUGGAGUUGAAAUACAAGGCCUCUUGGGAAAGACUGACCCUGUAUUUUCCUGUUAAAGCAUAAUAAAUUUUGUAGGCUUCCUAUCCGGAGAAGGAAAAUAAAGUUCUUUAAAUCAAAACAAACAAACAAAACACCCUUGAUUUUCAUUCUGUGAGGAGAAGUGUAACAGAAGGGUUUACAUAGUUCCUGCCUAAACUAAAGACAAACCCCGGUUUCCCUUCAAUCUUCCAUCUUUGGAAAGUGGCCUUUACGGUGGCAAUGUAAGGAAGAAUUUAUUUCUCGCUGAAUGUGUAAAGUUAAUGGACUGUUCUGCCAUAGUGUCCCUAUCAAGGUCAAGGCAAAAUCUUAGGACGAUUCUACUGGCAUUAGACACCUGGAAUGAAGACGUCAGUCCUGAGUCUGGGAAGCCAAACUGAGGAAGAUGCCAUUGUCUGUAAAAAAAGGAAACUGAAUUUGAAUACGUAUCUCUCUCUGGCCUAGAUUCAGAGGCAUCCUGGCGUUCUUGUGGACUCUUCUGAAUGCUUUGUGGAAUCCGGUAUUGCACGUACCAAGGGUCUGAAGAAGUUCAAGUCGGACCACCCUGUGUUGAACAAUGAAGGUGGGCCACCUAGAUCCCUACAAGGAAGACUUCGUUGCACCAGCUGCUGGGCGUGCCGUCCAUGGACAGUCUGCACUGUCAGUCACUUCAUGGGUUGCCUCA